UGUCAUCCACCCCAAGCUCACUCACAAACAUUAAUGGCCAUCCUUGCUGUAGCAGAACCCCUCCUCUCCUCAUUAUGCUGUCCACCACUCUCCCGCACACCUUGUUGGGGUUGCUGGUUUCCCCAGCCCUCCCAACCCGCGAUCCAUGCCAAUGCAUCUCCAACACUAAUUUCCCUGUGAAUGUCAAUUCCAGCUGUUGAUUGAGGAGGAAAGAUAGGUCUGUACCAUCACUCAAGCCAGAGAUUAUGACCAGAACAUCUGGGUUGGCUGAGUGCACUGCUUCAGCUCCUUUCUGCAUGUACCUGGUCAAUUCAUGAAUAGCUUUAUAACAAGACCAAUUCCUACAAAUAUGGUAACUAAUAGUUUGGAAAUAUAACAACCCCCUCCCUUACGUGUCCGUGUAGAUAUUGUCCAAUCCAAUGGGACCCUCACCAUACAAUACAAUGCAUAUAUAAGAUUAAGAAGAACCCAUGAAUACAUAACAUUCUUCAAUUUGGUCCCGCACAUUAGGGAAUGAAUCAUAACAGGAAAAUAGAGAUCAUCACCUGUACCAGUCCUUCACAUUCUGAUUGGGGCAUCGGAGCUCAUUCCUCAAGCUCAUGCCCACCACAUUAGGGACACCGCUGAACAUGGUGGCAAUCCGGGUGAGGCCCUUGACCCACAAGUCUGGAUUGAAGUGCUGGUCGCCAAAGACGCCAUUGUCAUGGAAGCUGGGCUCGCUGAAGUGACUGUCUAGUAUGACCAUCAUAUUGUUGUCCGCAAGGUUAGACACCACCGCCUGCCAUAAUAACUUAAGAUAAAUACAAAACAGCGUUGGGUCUGUGCCUUUUUUACAAUACCGGUGUUUUAUCAUUGAAUAAUCACAAAUAUUAUUCUUUCCGAAUACUGUAGCUGUAACAGUGAGGGCGUUUGUCCAAAUUCACAAGCCACCUAUUUUUAAAUCAAGAUAAUCAUGAAAUCAUGUGAUAGUGUACGAACCAAGGAACCAUUUCAAAAGCCUCCUAUUUUUACUCCAUGCCCUAAUCAAAAUUUAAGCUCUAAAUCAUGGUGGGAAAGUGACUAAAAAUCAAAAGAAAAGCAGGUAAGUUUUAGGCAAACAAAAUAGAUUCAUUCAAUUUUCCUAGUACUUAAUGGAUUUGAGGCUUGGAGCCUCUUUAACUGAUGCCUAGAGAAAAUCAAAUGAACUUGACCACCUGGUAAGCGCUUGUGAGAGGAAGAUCAAGCAUGGAAGGGUUAUUGGCCUGGAAACCAGCAAGGGAUUCAAGCAAGCCAAGCCUCUGAAAGGACUGUAUAACAGUGAGGGAGGCCAGUGACUGGUCGGUGGCCAAGAAAAGUGGCAAAGUGAGCCUCACACAGUUGAACCCCAAGGACGCAAUCCUCUUGGAGAUGAGGUCAACUGGGUGGUUGCUGAGGCCCUCCGCCACCGCUGCUUCCUGAUGCGACGGCCAAUUCACGCAUGCCAGCUUCACCCGGGCGCCAUCUUCGUCUACUAUCCACCUUGAAUUGGUGUAUAGUGGCAGAGCCACUACAGGCUUCAGAGGUAGAAGACAUAGAAUAGAUAGAAAGAAGGACAAGAAGAAGAACCUCCCCAUCUGGAUUUGCAUUGACUGCUUGAUGGGUAGAUGGAAUGAGACAUAGUAUUGUAUUUAUAGGGUGGGGGCCCUUGUUUGUUUUUUCUUUUAAAAUUCCUUUUUUUUUUCUUUCUUCCCCACAUUAUGUUUUACUAGACCAAAUUCAUAUAUACAGUGAAAAAUGAUCAUAUAUUCAAAUAGUCAGCAUGUCUUUGAAUUGCUUUAUAAAAAUAUUAAAAAUUUAAGUUUUUUAUUUAAUUAAAAAAUAAAAAAAUUAAGUGUCAGAAAAUAAAUUUGUUUUUUUAUACCUCUAUCUAUUAAUUUUCAAUUUUAUACAAUAUUCAUAUCUUAUUUAUUUUAUAUAAACACAAAAAUUUAUUAUUCAUGAAUAAUCUCAAUCCCAAUCCCAUCAAAUUCUCACCAUCCAUUUACAUACAAAUAUUGAUUAGGGUUAAAUUCUUUGGUUGAUAGAUUUUGAAUUUAUCGUCUUUUCCACCGUGUUUCUUCCUAACAUGUCAAUAUUUUCUUCAAACCCAUCAUCUAAAUAACUCAUUAUUUGCAUGAUCCUUGAGUUAUACGAGUGAUUCACAUCGAAUGAAAGGUUUGAAAAUACUUUCUCUCGAUUAAUUUUCAUUGAUAUGAAAUACAUGUAUACAUACAAUAUACAACUGACUUUUUAGUGUAUCACUUCCUAUAAUUAUGAUGACUACUUUACAAUAGUAAACCGAUUUUAAAACAAAUGAAAUCAAAUAUUUAUGUAAUAUUCAAAAUGUUUAUAUAAUAUUCCAAAAUAAUCAACUAUUCUAUUUAGGGAUGAUAAUGAGUCAGGUUUUUUUGGGUACCCGUCUCACUCCAUCUCUAAUAAGACGGGGUUCAAUUUUAAUAAACAGGUUUGAGAAUUUUUUUUAAACCCGGGAUGGGUUCGGGUAUUGUCCUGUCUCGAUUAUAUAUAAAAUUAAAAUUUAAAAUUAAUUUAAUUUAAUUUUUAUUUCAUUAUUUUUAAUAUAUAGAUAAUAAUAAAAUAUUUUUAAUAAAUUAAGUUAUAAAAAAUAUAAUAAUUUAAUUAUUUAUAAAAUAUAUUUAUUUUAAUGUAAUUAAAAAUUUUAAAAAUAAUUUUUAAAAAAUACAAUUAAAAAAAAAAAGUUAAACGGCACGAGGGGUAUAAAAUUUUAUCAUACUCAUUCCUCCUUAUUUAAUUUUUUAAAUAGGACGAGAAUGAAAAUUAUUUUGAAUAAACGAAAUAGGGUUGGAUGACCUGUUGCCUUCCCUAAUCCUACUAAAAAGUCUCCAACAUGCCCCGCGAAAUGCUUACAAUCGUUGAGCAAUUGUAAUCAAUGAUCUUAACUUUCUUUUAUAAGGGGAAAGCGACAUUUUGAGAUGAAAUCUAUCCCGGGGGAUUUUCAUCUAAAACCUAGGAGUCUUAUCAUAUUCCCACAACAAUGCAUACACUGAAUUCAUUCAAAUAAGGAUGGGGUUUUUUCUUCAUAUUUAUUUGCAUAUUGUGGACUAUGAAUAGCAUUAUAAUUGGCGUUGGAAACACGCCAAGUUGCAGAACAUGGAAGUCAAAUAUUUGCUUGGAACUUUGGGGUUUGGAAAACUUGCAAGGCAAACCACAUCUACUUGGUUUCCCAUUGCUUUUUGUUUUUGCAUCUCAGCCUUUUGUUUAAUUCUUUUAAGCAAGUGAAUUUUAUACUUCUAUACUAUAAUUUAAAUUUUAAAAAUAAGUGUUUGAUGAUUUAAAUUUUCCUUUCAACAAAAUAUUAAAGAAUAAUUUAAAAAAAUACUUUUAAAUUCACUUUAAUUUUUCCUCAUUCUUACUUGUAGUUAUUAAUUAAUUUUUAUUUAUCCAUUAAAAAACCAUUGAUCAUUUAUGAAUAAUAAUAAGUAAUAAAUAAUAAAUAAUAAAUUAAAUUAGUGAUUUCUAUAAUAUAUAUAUAUAUAUAUAUAUAUAUGACAGAGACAAGAAGAGGUGAAUAAGAGGAAAUGAGGAUAGGGUUGGGGUGGGUUUUGGAGCAUUUUUACAUCCCUAUUUGUAAGUUUUGAAAGUUCCACGACAAUGCCAAUGGCUGUAGACCCUCUAUUUUGUCUUUCUCACACAUGUCGUUUAUAGCAAUUUCCUGGUGGCCCAUUAAUACUCGUGUAACCUAUCUUUUCUAAGCUACCUCGGAGACUUUGGUUGAGGGAUUAUCUGACCCCUUAUUGUGACCCUUGGCAGCCCUAACUUAGACUUAGGUUUUUCUUGCUUUUUUUUUAGGAUAGCUUUUAGGCACCCUAGGCCCACUUAGGCACCCUAGGCCCAUUUAGGUAACCCUAGGUCCAUUUAGGUAUCCCUAGGCCCAUUUAGGUAACCCUAGGUCCAUUUAGGUAUCCCUAGGCCCAUUUAGGUACACUUGGCCCAUUAGGCAUCACUUUAGGCCCAUUUAGACACUUUAGGCCCACUUAGUUACCUUAGGCCCACUUAGAUCACUUUAGGCCCAUUUAGUCACCCUAGGCCCAUUUAGCCACCCUAGACCCAUUUAGGUACACUUAGCCCAUUAGGCAUCACUUUAGGCCCAUUUAGACACUUUAGGCCCACUUAGUUACCUUAGGCCCACUUAGAUCACUUUGGGCCCAUUUAGCCACCCUAGGCCCAUUUAGGUAACCCUAGGCCCAUUUAGGCACACUUGGCCCAUUAGGCAUCACUUUAGGCCCAUUUAGACACUUUAGGCUCACUUAGUCACCCUAGGCCCACUUAGAUUACUUUAAGCCCAUUUAGGUACACUUGGCCCAUUAGGCAUCACUUUAGGCCCAUUUAGACACUUUAGGCCCACUUAGAUCACUUUAGGCCCAUUUAGGCACCCUAGACCCACUUAGUACACCCUAAGCCCAUUAGACGCACCUAGCCCAUUUGGUGUCACCCCAAGCCCACUUAGGCACCUUAGGUUCACUUAGAUACACCCUAGGCACCUUAGACCUACUUAAGCACCACCCUAAGCCCACUUAGGCACCCUAGGACGAUUUAGGCACUUUAGGCCCACUUAGGCACCUUAAGUCAAUUUAGGCACCAAUAGAAAGAUAAGAAACUGCCUAUGAUGUGAAGCUUGGAGUGGGUAGCUACCAUAUUGGUUCCAAGAGUAGACAUAUGGAAAAAAUGAAUGGAGCCAUGUUAUGGGGAAGAUUCAGCUUAUGUAUGAAAAAAGAAAUGAUGAGCAGCAAAGAAGGUAAUGUAAUUUGUCUUUUGGAAAAAGAAUCACAUGAUGAUGGAAGGAGGAUUCAGUAGUGUUUUGGGUCAAAGCAUAUUUUAAACGGAAAAGGAAAAGAGAUGAUAUAUUUUAGGAAGAAUUGAGGUGGCAUAUUGAAUAGACAGACUGUAUUUUGCAAGAAAGAGAGCAGAGGGAAUUCAGAGAAGGAAAGAAAAGUCAACUCACAUGCAAAAAAUGGAGGAAAGGCGUGAUGAAAGGGAUUGAGGUUUUUUUUUUUUGGGGAAUAUGAGAGACAAUUGAGGAGGGAGAAGGAGGAUUUUUUUUUUUAGAGGAGAGCCGGAAGAUAGAUGGGAGACAUCUUAGGGAGAAAAAACAAAAGAGUUUUGGAAGAAUUUUGGUUGAUUUUUUGAACGAGAUUCAGAAGAAAAUUAUAGACAUGGAGAUCACGUUUCCGGGUGGAACUUCUAAAGAACGCAUAGGCUGAUUCGGGGACUCUUUGUGGUGAAGGAACACGCGAGUCAGAUCGAAGAAGCGGACACAACUAGACUGAGAAGAAAAAGUGACACAACCGUGAAAGAGGGUAGCUGCAAGCAAGGAAAGGAAAUGAAAUCAUGGACGGUUAUAAUAGGAUUUAAUGUCUUCCGGUGAGUGUUUUGUUGGAUUUAAUGUAUUUAUAUGAGAUGUGUUAAUGAUUGUUUGAACAAAAUAUAAAUUAAGUUAGGAUUUUUAGUUUUUUUUUUUUGUUUUUUAAUUUAUUUUAUUUAUUUUAUUUUAGUUAUCAUUAUUAUUAUUGCUAAUCUCAUGUUACUUUUUGUAGGCAUUUGUCUUGGAUGAUUCGGGCUGAUAGUUUAAAAAUUAGAUGUUUUAUUCGUUUUGGAUAAUUUUGUGAUGUUAAUGAAAAGUUGAAAUAUUUUGCAAGUUUUUUUAGUUUUCAAUAAUUUGGAUAUUAAUGAAAAGUUAUAUUGUGCUUUUUUUUUUUUUUAGCUUUGGGAUAAUUCCUGAUAAUUGUUUGAAUAAAAUAUAAACCAAGUUAGGAUUUUUAGUUUUUUUUUGUUUUUGAAUUUAUUUUGUUUAUUUUAUUUUAGUUAUCAUUAUUAUUAUUGUUAAUCUCAUGUUACUUUUUGUAGGCAUUUGUCUUGGAUGAUUCGAGAUGAUAGUUUAAAAAUUAGAUGUUUUAUUAGUUUUGGAUAAUUUUGUGAUGUUAAUGAAAAGUUGAAAUAUUUUGCAAGUUUUUUUUUAGUUUUCAAUAAUUUGGAUAUUAAUGAAAAUUUAUAUUGUGCUUAAUUUUUAGUUUUGGGAUAAUUCCUGAUGAUGAUGAAGAAGUUUGAAUUUUUAAGUGUUUUGAUAAUUUUUAUGAUAGCUUUGUUCAAAAAUAAAAAAUAAAAAGUCGUAAUAUUUAAAUUAUUUUAAACAUUUUUUGUUCUCUUGGAUUAAAAUAUAAAAUAAUUGUCUAUCUUAUUUAAAAAUUUUAUUAUGUUUUAAAAAAAUAAAAAAAAAAUUAUGUGCUUUCUAAAUAAAGAGUUGUGGAAAUCAUCCUCUUGUAAAUAAAAUAAAGUAAAAAAAAAAUUAUUAAAGAAAAAUUUAAAUUAUAAAAGAUUUUCUUACAUUAAAAAAAAUAUUUUAAAAUUGUCAAAUAUAUUUUUUAUGAGGUUUUAUUAUUAUUAACAUUAUUAAUUAAUUAAUUUUUUUUUUCUCUUUUUGGUAAAUGAAUUUUUUGAAAGCAUUUUCUUUACAUGGAAUUAAAGCCAUUUUAUUUAAGUAAAUUGAAACUUCCUUUUAUAAGAUUAACUAAAACUAUGGACUCAAUUAUUACUAUUAUUAUUAUAAUUUUAAUACUCAUGAAAUAUUUCCUUUAUAAAAGUGAUAAUUACAUUUAUUUUCUUGUGAAUGAACUUUUUAAAAACAUUUCCUUUGCAUGGAAUUAAAGUCUUUUUAUUUAAAUAAAUUAAAGCUUCUUUUUAUAAAUAAAAUUCAUUAAAACUAUGGAAUCAAUUAUUGUUAUUAUUAUCAUUAUUUUUAAUACUUAUGAAAUAUUUCCUUUAUAAAAGUGAUAAUAUUUAUUUUCUUGUGAACAAACUUUUUUAAAAAAAAUAUUUUAUUUGCAUGAAAUUAUAGCCUUCUUAUUUAAGUGAAUCAAAACUUCCUUUUAUGAAUACAAUUCAUUAAAACUGUCGAAUAAAUAUUUUUUUUAAUACUCAUGAAUUUUUUAUUUUUUUAUUUUUUUAUUUUUAUUUUUACGAAAGUAAUAACAUUUAAUUCCAAGCUAUAUUUGUGUAUAUCAAUUGGGGAAUUGGUGAAACCCCUACAUAAAAUCAUCUUUUUAAAACUCAUCUUUAUUGUCACCCUUGCCAUUUAUUGAAAUCAUAUCUAUUUUUUUAGGAAUUAUAUACAAGAUGUAUGUGAUAAUUGAUGAUUUUGUAUACUUUGAUCACUUUUGCUAUGCUAAGUAGAUAACGAGCAUGCUAGGAUUUCUAUAUUUUAUUAUUUAUUAUCUAACCCCUUACAACUUGAGGAAGCACGUUACAAAUUAUCUAUGCUAUCUAAGUAUGUCCUCUAUCACCUACUUUCUGAAUUCUGUGAAUACGCUUGUCAUUGUGAAAUAAUGCUUAUGUCUAAUAAUGCUUGAGUGUUCUGAUAUACAUGUUUCAUUGUUUGAUUAUUUCUAAUAAAAUACAUGCUGGAUGAUAUAUUGUUUAAAUUAACCAUUGAUGUUUUAUGAUAGCGCUUGAGAAGCGGUCCAGGUACGCAUCCUAACCUUCCUUUAUUAUGAUUUGAUCUUGUUUGACAUGCUAUUUUUUGGAAUCAUCUAGCCUACUUAGGUAUCCAUAAUUAACCGGUUAAUUGCCACAUUCCCCUUAACUUAGUUAGUAGAGACCUUUAUAGGGCUUAGAGGGGUGCUACCUUUUAAAGGUACCUUCCCAAUAGGUAACCUAAUCCCCGGACUUAGACUCGGUGUGGACCCGCAUUUCUCACGUGCGUCCCCACUCGAUCGGGGAGACUCGCUUUUUAUUUGUGAAAAAAAUAUUUAGUUUUGGAAAAGUUGGAGCCGCCACUUAUUUUAUUUUUAUUUUAAAGGGAAAAUAAAACAAGAAAGAAAAACCCUAAAAUGUGACUCCAUAAUUUUUGGAAAAAAGCAUGUCUUUGAAAAACCCGAGUCUAAGUCCGGGGAUCAGGUUACCUAUUGGGAAGGAAUGUGGCAAUUAACCGGUUAAUUAUGGAUACCUAAGUAGGCUAGAUGGUUCCAAAAAAUAGCAUGUCAAACAAGAUCAAAUCAUAAUAAAGGAAGGUUAGGAUGCGUACCUGGACCGCUUCUCAAGCGCUAUCAUAAAACAUCAAUGGUUAAUUUAAACAAUAUAUCAUCCAGCAUGUAUUUUAUUAGAAAUAAUUAAACAAUGAAACAUGUAUAUCAGAACACUCAAGCAUUAUUAGACAUAAGCAUUAUUUCACAAUGACAAGCAUAUUCACAGAAUUCAGAAAGUAGGUGAUAGAAGACAUACCUAGAUAGCAUAGAUAAUUUGUAACGUGCUUCCUCAAGUUGUAAGGGGUUAGAUAAUAAAUAAUAAAAUAUAGAAAUCCUAGCAUGCUCGUUAUCUAAUUAGCAUAGCAAAAGUGAUCAAAGUAUACAAAAUCAUCAAUUAUCACAUACAUCUUGUAUAUAAUUCCUAAAAAAAUAGAUAUGAUUUCAAUAAAUGGCAAGGGUGACAGUAAAGAUGAGUUUUAAAAAGAUGAUUUUAUGUAGGGGUUUCACCAAUUCCCCAAUUGAUAUACACAAAUAUAGCUUGGAAUUAAAUGUUAUUACUUUCGUAAAAAAAUUAAAAAAUAAAAAAUAAAAAUUCAUGAGUAUUAAAAAAACAUUUAUUCGAUAGUUUUAAUGAAUUGUAUUUAUAAAAGGAAGUUUUGAUUUACUUAAAUAAGAAGGCUUUAAUUUCAUGCAAAGAAAAUAUUUUUUUAAAAAAAGUUUGUUCACAAGAAAAUAAAUGUUAUCACUUUUAUAAAGGAAAUGUUUCAUAAGUAUUAAUAAUAAUAAUAAUAAUAAUAACAAUAAUUGAUUCCAUAGUUUUAAUGAAUUUUAUUUAUAAAAAAUAAGCUUUAAUUUAUUUAAAUAAAAAGACUUUAAUUCCAUGCAAAGGAAAUGUUUUUAAAAAACUCAUUCACAAGAAAAUAAAUGUAAUUAUCACUUUUAUAAAGGAAAUAUUUCAUAAGUAUUAAAAAUAAUAAUAAUAAUAAUAAUAAUGAUAAUUGAUUCCAUAGUUUUAAUGAAUUUUUUUUUAAAAAAAAAAGUUUUAAUUUAUUUAAAUAAAAAGACUUUAAUUCCAUGCAAGAAAAUAUUUUUAAAAAGUUCAUUCACAAGAAAAUAAAUGUAAUUAUCACUUUUAUAAAGGAAAUAUUUCAUGAGUAUAAUAAUAAUAAUAGUAAUAAUUGAUUCCAUAGUUUUAAUUAAUCUUAUAAAAGGAAAUUUCAAUUUACUUAAAUAAAAAAAGGCUUUAAUUCCAUGCAAAGAAAAAAGUUUAUUCACAAGAAAAUAAAUGUUAUCACUUUUAUAAAGGAAAUAUUUUAUGAGUAUUAAUAAUAACAAUAAUAAUAAUAAUUGAUUCCGUAGUUUUAAUGAAUUUUAUAAAAGGAAGUUUUAAUUUAUUUAAAAAAAGACUUUAAUUCCAUGUAAAGAAAAUGCUUUCAAAAAAUUCAUUGACAAAAAAGAGAAAGAAAAAAAAAUUAAUUAAUUAAUAAUGGUAAUAAUAAUAAAACCUCAUAAAAAAUAUAUUUGACAAUUUAAAAACAUUUUUUUUAAUGGAAGAAUAUCUUUUAUAAUUUAAAUUUUUCUUUAAUAAUUUUUUUUAACUUUAUUUUAUUUACAAGAGGAUGAUUUCCACAACUCUUUAUUUAGAAAGCACAAAAAAUUUUAUUAUUUUUUAUUAUUUUUUUAAAACAUAAUAAAUUUUUUAAAUAAGAUAAACAAUUAUAUGUUAAUCCAAGAGAACAAAAAAAUGUUUAAAAUAAUUUAAAUAUUACAACUUUUUAUUUUUGAAUUUUGAACAAAGCUAUCAUAAAAAUUAUCAAAACACUUAAAAAUUCAAACUUUUUCAUCAUCAUCAAGAAUUAUCCCAAAACUAAAAAUUAAGCACAAUAUAAAUUUUCAUUAAUAUCCAAAUUAUUGAAAACUAAAAAAACUUGCAAAAUAUUUCAACUUUUCAUUAGCAUCACAAAAUUAUUCAAAAUGAAUAAAACAUCUAAUUUUUAAACUAUCAUCCCGAAUCAUCCAAGACAAAUGCCUACAAAAAGUAACAUGAGAUUAGCAAUAAUAAUAAUGAUAACUAAAAUAAAAUAAACAAAAUAAAUUCAAAAAAACAAAAAAAAAAAACUAAAAAUCCUAACUUGAUUUAUAUUUUAUUCAAACAAUCAUCAAGAAUUAGCCCAAAGCUAAAAAAAAAAAUAAGCACAAUAUAACUUUUCAUUAAUAUCCAAAUUAUUGAAAACUAAAAAAAAAACUUGCAAAAUAUUUCAACUUUUCAUUAACAUCACAAAAUUAUCCAAAGCGAAUAAAACAUCUAAUUUUUAAACUAUCAUCCCGAAUCAUCCAAGACAAAUGCCUACAAAAAGUAACAUGAGAUUAACAAUAAUAAUAAUGAUAACUAAAAUAAAAUAAAUUCAAAAACCAAAAAAAACUAAAAAUCCUAACUUAAUUUAUAUUUUGUUCAAACAAUCAUUAACACAUCUCAUAUAAAUACAUUAAAUCCAACAAAACACUCACCGGAAGACAUUAAAUCCUAUUAUAACCGUCCAUGAUUUCAUUCCCUUUCCCUUAACAAAUAAAUAAAAACAUGACAAUAGCAUCAUUCACAUCAGGACUGACCAUAUAUUCACAUUCGUUUGCAUUUUAAAUCCAACAAAACGAAGUCAAAUAACACUAACCUUGCUUGCAGCUACCCUCUUUAACGGUUGUGUCACUUUUUCUUCUCAGUCUAGUUGUGUCCGCUUCUUCGAUCUGGCUCGCGUGUUCCUUCACCACAAAGAGUCCCCGAAUCAGACUAUGCGUCCUUUAGAAGUUCCACCCGGAAACGUGAUCUCCAUGUCUAUAAUUUUCUUCUGAAUCUCGUUCAAAAAAUCAACCAAAAUUCUUCCAGAACUCUCUUUUUUUUCUCCCUAAGACGUCUCCCAUCUAUCUUUCGGCUCUCCUCUCAAAAAAAAAUCCUUCUUCUCCCUCCUCAAUUGUCUCUCAUAUUCCCCAAAAAAAAAACCUCAAUCCCUUUCAUCACGCCUUUCCUCCCCUUUUUUGCAUGUGAGUUGACUUUUCUUUCCUUCUCUGAAUUCCCCCUGCUCUCUUUCUUGCAAAAUACAGUAUGUCUAUUCAAUAUGCCACCUCAAUUCUUCCUAAAAUAUAUCAUCUCUUUUCCUUUUCCGUUUAAAAUAUGCUUUGACCCAAAACACUACUGAAUCCUCCUUCCAUCAUCAUGUGAUUCUUUUUCCAAAAGACAAAUUACAUUACCUUCUUUGCUGCUCAUCAUUUCUUUUUUCAUACAUAAGCUGAAUCUUCCCCAUAACAUGGCUCCAUUCAUUUUUUCCAUAUGUCUACUCUUGGAACCAAUAUGGUAGCUACCCACUCCAAGCUUCACAUCAUAGGCACUUUCUUAUCUUUCUAUUGGUGGACUUCCUACAAAAUUUCAAAGUUAAUAAAGUAAUAGUAAUAAUAAUAAUAAUAAUAAUAAUGAAAACUUUUAAACAAAAUUAUUAAAUUAAAUUAAAUAAGUAAAGACAAGUAUUAGGGAAAAGUGAUAAAAUAAUAGGAAAAUAAAAUAAAUGAAGAAAUAUACAAAUUAAUAAAUAAAAUAAAAUAAACAAAAAUAUAAGAGUAAAAAAAAAAAUUCAAGCAAUGUGAUUUUACAAAAACGAGUCUUGCAAGUCAUACAAGCCAUGCAACCAUGCCCAUGCAAAAAAAAUGAUCUAAAUGGGCCUAAGGUGCCUAAAUGGGCCUAGAAUGCCUAAAUUGGCCUAAGGUGCCUAAAUGGGCUUAAGGUGUCUAAAUGGGCCUAGGGUGCCUAAAUGGGCCUAAGGUGCCUAAAAGGGCCUAUGGUGCCUAAAUUGACUUAAGGUGCCUAAGUGGGCCUAAAGUGCCUAAAUCGUCCAAGGGUGCCUAAGUGGGCUUAGGGUGGUGCUUAAGUAGGUCUAAGGUGCCUAGGGUGUAUCUAAGUGAACCUAAGGUGCCUAAGUGGGCUUGGGGUGACACCAAAUGGGCUAGGUGCGUCUAAUGGGCUUAGGGUGUACUAAGUGGGCCUAGGGUGCCUAAAUGGGCCUAAAGUGAUCUAAGUGGGCCUAAAGUGUCUAAAUGGGCCUAAAGUGAUGCCUAAUGGGCCAAGUGUACCUAAAUGGGCCUAAAGUAAUCUAAGUGGGCCUAGGGUGACUAAGUGAGCCUAAAGUGUCUAAAUGGGCCUAAAGUGAUGCCUAAUGGGCCAAGUGUGCCUAAAUGGGCCUAGGGUUACUUAAAUGGGCCCAAAGUGAUCUAAGUGGGCCUAAAGUAACUAAAUGGGCCUAAAGUGUCUAAAUGGGCCUAAAGUGAUGCCUAAUGGGCCAAGUAUACCUAAAUGGGCCUAGGGAUACCUAAAUGGGCCUAGGGUGGCUAAAUGGGCCUAAAGUGAUCUAAGUGGGCCUAAGGUAACUAAGUGGGCCUAAAGUGUCUAAAUGGGCCUAAAGUGAUGCCUAAUGGGCCAAGUGUACCUAAAUGGGCCUAGGGAUACCUAAAUGGACCUAGGGUUACCUAAAUGGGCCUAGGAUGCCUAAGUGGGCCUAGGGUGCCUAAAAGCUAUCUUAAAAAAAAAGCAAGAAAAGCCUAAGUCUAAGUUAGGGCUACCAAGGGUCACAAUAAGGGGUCAGAUAAUCCCUCAACCAAAGUCUCCGAGGUGGCUUAAAAAAGAUAGGUUACACGAGUAUUAAUGGGCCACCAAGGAAUUGCUAUAAACGACAUGUGCGAAGAAGACAAAAUAGAGGGUCUACACUCGGGUUUUUCAAAGACAUGUUUUUUUCCAAAAAUUAUGGAGUCACAUUUUAGGGUUUUUCUUUCUUGUUUUAUUUUCCCUUUAAAAUAAAAAUAAAAUAAGUGGCGGCUCCAACUUUUCCAAAACUAAAUAUUUUUUCACAAAUAAAAAGCGAGUCUUGCCGAUCGAGUGGGGACGCAUGUGAGAAAUGCGGGUCCACAAUGGCAUACUACUUCCAUUUGCUAGACUUAACCAUUAUUAAGUAAUGUAAUUAAUUAUAUUUUCUGCAUAUGCUUAAUUGUAGGAAAUAUUAUUUUGUCUCUAGCCUUAACAUGUGUAUUAGUUGUUUUUGAUAUUUUUUACUGCAUUUUUAUAUCAUAUAAAUUUUAGUCACUAGUUAUUUUCAUUGAGCAUUGAAAUUCCAAAAUAUUCUUUAUUUCUAUUCUCUCUGCUUCCCUUUCUUCUAUAAGAUAUUGUUUUUGACUACUUACAACCCACAAGAUUUUGAUCAGCGGUGCGAGGUACGAGAUCCCAAGUACCAUUACGGAGUAGAGCAUCAAAUUCUUCUGACAUUGCUUGAUGCCAUCGAGGGUCCUUAAGGGCCUGGGAAACACAGGUGAGCUCAGUGAUGGGUUCGGUAGGGGUAGUGGCAAGCAUGGUCAGCUUUGUGGAUGGUUUGACAAUGUUGUUUUUGGCACGAGUGAUCAUGGAGUGGUGAUUAAGGGGAUUAACAAGGUGGAUUGGUGGUGGGUUCAAAGCCGGAAGUGGUAUUUGUCCAAGUGGUGGAGAAGAAGAUACAAUAGGUUGGCAUAGAGUCUUCAAAUUGAUGAAUAAUAGUUUUUCAUUGAUUAUUUCAUUCAUUCAUGUACAUAGUAUAUAUAGAGGGUAAUCACCAUUCUAAGAAUGGGAAAGAAUUAUACAAUGAAUGAAUGAUAUAAGGAAAGAACAACUAAUAUCCGAAUAUCUCAACAUUCCUAAUAUUUCAACUUUCCUAAUAUCUCAACAUUUCUAAUAUCUCAACACUCCCCCUCAAGUUGGUGCAUAGAUGUCACACAUGUCCAACUUGUCUAAAAAUUUUGAGAACACUCGACUUGACACUGUAGCUUUGGUGAGGAUAUCGGCCAAUUGAUCUUCUGAUAGAAUCUUAGGCAAUUCCACAAUCUUAUCAUCUAACUUCUCCUUAAUGAAGAAUCUGUCCACCUCGACAUGCUUUGUACAAUCAUGUUUUACUGGAUUAUGAGCAAUAUCACAUGCGGCUUUAUUGUCACAAAACAAUCGGAUUGGUUGCCUAGAUAGGUAACCUAAAUCCUAUAAGAGGAGUCUUAGCCAUAAUGUCUCACAAAGUCCUAGAGUUAUACCCCUAAAUUCCGCUUCUGCACUUGAAUGAGCGACGACAUUCUGCUUCUUACUUUUCCAUAUCACAAAAUUACCACCUACAAAGGUAAAGUAACCAGAUGUAGAUCACCUAUUAUCCACUGCACUGGCCUAAUCAGCAUUAGUAUAUACUUCUAUACUCUGAUGAUCAACAUUUUUAGUGAACAAAAUUCCCUUCCUAUGAGCAUUCUUCAAAUACCUCAAAAUACGCAUGACUGCAUUCAUAAAUUGCUCUCCAGGAUUAUGCAUGUAUUGACUUAGUACACUCAAUGCAUAAGCAAGAUCUGGUCUUGUAUGAGCUAAGUACACUAAUCUCCCCACAAGUCUCUGGUAUCUUCCCUUAUCAAUUGAUACUUGAUUAGGCUCACCACACAAUUUCAGACCUUCUUCUAUUGGCGUAUCAACAGGUUAACAUCUCGACAUUCCAGUCUCCUAUAAAAAAUCUAAGGCAUACUUUCUUUGAGACAGAAAAAUUCCUUCACUUGAUCGAGAAACUUCAAUCCCAAGAAAGUAUUUCAAAGAACCUAGAUCUUUCAUUUCGAAUUCUCUAGAUAAAUAAUUUUGCAGAGCUUUUCUUUAUUCAGGAUCAUUUCCUGUAACUACCAUGUCAUCCACAUAUACGAUGAGUGUUGUAAUCUUACCAUGUUACUUUUUCAGGAACAAAGUGUGAUCUAAAUUACUUUGACGAUAGCCAANNNNNNNNNNNNNNNNNNNNNNNNNNNNNNNNNNNNNNNNNNNNNNNNNNNNNNNNNNNNNNNNNNNNNNNNNNNNNNNNNNNNNNNNNNNNNNNNNNNNNNNNNNNNNNNNNNNNNNNNNNNNNNNNNNNNNNNNNNNNNNNNNNNNNNNNNNNNNNNNNNNNNNNNNNNNNNNNNNNNNNNNNNNNNNNNNNNNNNNNNNNNNNNNNNNNNNNNNNNNNNNNNNNNNNNNNNNNNNNNNNNNNNNNNNNNNNNNNNNNNNNNNNNNNNNNNNNNNNNNNNNNNNNNNNNNNNNNNNNNNNNNNNNNNNNNNNNNNNNNNNNNNNNNNNNNNNNNNNNNNNNNNNNNNNNNNNNNNNNNNNNNNNNNNNNNNNNNNNNNNNNNNNNNNNNNNNNNNNNNNNNNNNNNNNNNNNNNNNNNNNNNNNNNNNNNNNNNNNNNNNNNNNNNNNNNNNNNNNNNNNGCGAUAUCCCUUUUUGUGCAAUGCAUAUCCAACAAACACACAUUGCAAUGCACGGGAAGUUAACUUGGUACGUUGGUGUUUGUGUAGAUGCACAAAUGCCACGCAACCAAAAACAUGAGGAGGUAGAUUUAAGACGGUUGGGGCAACUACGACAUUAGUAAGAGGUUGGAGAAGUGUUUGGAAGUAAUUGAGAUGGAAGGUACCCGAUUGAUCAAGUAUACGACAGAUGUGAUUGCUUAUCCCGAAUAAGAUAUCGGUAUUUGUACUGCUAUCAAGGAAACACGAACAACCUCUAACAAGUGUCGAUUUUUCCGUUCAGCGACUCCAUUUUGCUGGUGUGUAUUGGAACAAGUAGUCUGAUAAAUGAUGUCAUGUCCUUCUAAAUAAUUUUGAAGAUCAGAACUCUGAUAUUCUCCACCAUUAUUGCUACAUAGAACCCGAACCUUUGCAUUGUACUGAGUUUCAAUCAUUUUAUGAAAUUUUUGAAACAACAAGUUCACUUCAUCUUUGGUCUUCAUCAAGCAUAACCAUGUCAUUCUAGUAUAAUCAUCAAUAAAAGUAACAAAUCAACGCAAACCACUCAAAGUUGGAACUUUGGAUGUGCCUCAAACAUCAGAAUAUAUAACCAUAAAAAGAAACGGACUUUUAUUCAAAUUUAACAGAAACAAAGCACGAUGGCUUUUAGCCAAUUCACAAACAUCACAACAGAAACCAGAAAUAUCACUAUUUGCAAAUAAACUAGGAAACAAUUUUUUUAAAUAACCAAAGGAAGCAUGUCCCAAACGUCGAUGCCAUAACCAAAUUUCAGACUUUUUCUUCUCCCUCUCAGAUCCAUCUGCCAUCAAGGUUUGUCGCAACUUAUUUGAAUCAUUUGACUGCAAGUCCAAGUAAUAGAGUUUUCCCCGCUUAAUACCACAACCAAUCGUCUCUCUUGUUUGGAUGUCCUUAAAAACACCAAAUUCAGGCCAAAAAAUGACAAUACAAGAUAAAGUUGUAGUGAUUUGAGAAAUUGACAAAAUAUUGUAAUCUAAAGAUAGAACAACUAAAACAUAAUCCAAAUUCAAAGUAUCAGUAAGAGUUAAGGAUCCUUCCCCAAUGACUAUGGUUGUGUUACUAUUGGCUAUGGAAAAAAAAAUUUGUGAGUAAGGUCUAAGGGGUGAGAUCUGUCUAGAAUCAAAAGUCAUAUGAUCUGUAGCACCAGAAUCAAUUAUCCAUGCACUAUUAAUAACAGGUGUAGAAGUAUUUAAAAAUUGACCACCAUAAUCUGUAACGGCUACCAAUGCAGAAGCUUUCUCAACAACAUUAGUCUCUGUUUUUAUUUUGGCAACAACUACAGUCAAGGUUUUCUUAGAAUCCUUCUUCCGUUGAUCACGAUUAUGAUCCCACCAAUCUGGAUAUCCCACAAUUUCAAAGCGACGACUCUUGGUAUGACCAGUCUUAUUGCAGUGAGUGCAUUUGAAGGUUGACUUAUCAAUAUUAGGGUUUGUCUUAGGAUGGUUGGUCUUGGAUUGGUCCUACCAAUUCUAGGUUGAUCGCUGUCGGACUACCAUAGUUGAGGUGUCAGGGUUGUCAAAUUCUACUUUCAUACUAGCAUGACGCUCUGUCUCUCGUCGAAUCAAUGCAUAGCAUUCUUCCAAAUCAGGAAGAGGAUCUUUGCGUAGAAUCUCUCCUCGAACUUGCUCAAAGUCACCAUCCAAUCCAGUAAGAAAGAUGUGCACCCGUUGUCGUUCAAUGGAUUUCCGAUAUGUUGCAAUGUCCUCAGGGUCUUUCAUGACUACCUUAUCCCGAUGAUCCAAUUCGCAAAAAAAUUUAGUUAACUUUCCAUAAUAUUCAGAAAGAGACGCCGCUUUGUUUGGCAAUGAAGGCUUUUUGAUUCAAAUUAAAAACUUGUAAUUCAUCACUUCCAUCAUAGAAGGCCUUUGAUAAUGCACUCCAAAUUUCUUGAGCGGUGGGUAAGCGUAAGUAACGCUUCAUAAUUUCUAGACUCAUGGACAUUAACAACCAUCUCUUCACCUUUUAAUUCUCAGCAUACUAUUUUUCAUAUCCAUCUUCUGACUCUUUUGGUCAAUUUAUCUUACCUCGAAUGUAGGAAAGUUUUUCUCGUUCAGCAAUAUGCAUCUCCACGAGUUAUGACCAAACGUCAUAGUUUGAUUCAGUUAAAAUAAUUCCUAGAUUAAAAGUACCUUCAGAUUGAAAAACAAUAGUAUUUUUUUCACUCAUUUUUUUUAUUAUUAUUAUUAUCAAAAAGGAGGGGCGAUAGCUGGCCUUACCAACAAAAUAUCCAGGAUUUCAGUUCCAUAGCUCCGAUACCAUCUUCAAAUUAAUGAAUGGUAGUUUUUCAUUGAUUAUUUAAUUCGUUCAUGUACAGAGUAUAUAUAGAGGGUAAUCACCAUUCUAAAAAUGGGAAAGAAUAAUACAAAGAAAGAAUGAUAUAAGGAAAGAACAACUAAUAUCAUAAUAUCUCAACAUGGAGAUGGAUUAGGAAUAGAAAGACAAGGCAUUUGAACAAAAAUAUUAGGAAAGCUCAGAGAAAGGGAACCUAUGAGACCUUUAUUACCAUUACUCAUUAGUGCUUCCAAAUAAAGAACCGAGUUACCAGAAAGAGGAGAUGCUAAAGAGAUGUUCGAUGGAGGAGUACUAGUAGGAGUAGGGGUGGAUAAAUGGGGCGAGAACCAGGACUCUAUGAAUGAGAAAGGCAGAGAGGGAUUGGAUGUGGCAAAUGGAAAGAUGGAUUCAACAAACUUGACAUGACAAGAUGUGUAGGUUUUAUAAGUGGUGGGAUCAAGACAAAUAUAGGCACUUUGAAAGAGUGAGUAGCCAAUCAAUACACAUGCAUGGUUUGGACUUGAACUCAAGUUUAUGAGAAUUAUAAGGACAUAACCAUGGAUAACACAAGCAACCAAAGACUCGAAGUUUUGCUAGAUUUGGCGAUUAACUAAAAAGUUUUUGGUAAGAAGAAAGAAACCUAAUAUUAUGUUUUGGUAAUCAAUUGAUCAAAUAGAUAGUAGUGGCAAAGGCUUCGAGCCAAAAUGAUAAGAACAUAGAAUCAUGAUGCAAUAAAGUGAGGGUUGUCUCAACUAUAUGAUGAUGAUGACGCUCUGAGUAUCCAUUGCGUUCAGGAGUAUGGGGGGAAUGGUGAGGCAGGAGACACCAUGAUGAGCCAAAAAAUAAAAAUUUGAGAGCAAGAUAUUCCCCACCAUUGUCUGUGUAUAGUUGUAUCAUUUGUUUGUUAUAAAAAUUUUCCACAAGCACUUUGAAACGAAUAAAAAUAUCUAAAACAUCAGACUUUUUUUUUCAUGGGAUAAAACCAAAUAUAUUUUGUAAAAUGGUCAAUGAAAAUAAUAUUUAUUACCAUUGAAGGAUUCCACAGGAGAGCACCAUACAUCAGAAUAAAGAAGUUGAAGAGGAGAGGUGCCAAUGAGCGAUGAUGCAGAAAAAGGAAGCUUAUGGCUUUCAUUACUGUGACAAGAGUUGCAAGAAAAGUUCCUAAUACUAGUGGAAGAUAAGUGAAUGCACUAAGAUGACACGAGGGGACUAAGAACUUUGGCAAAAGGAUGAUCGGGACGGUGAUGCCAAUCAGAAGUAGAUGCUUUAAUAGAAGCAAAGGCAAGUAAUGGUUUGGAUUUCUCAUGGACGGUCAGCCACUCGUAGACUCCAUCCUUAGAAUUAUCUGUCAAAAGCGUUGCUCCCAUUCGAAGAUCUUUCAUAAGAAAAGAGCGAGGUAAGAACUCAAUAGAAAUAUUGUUAGUUAAGCAAAAGUGAGAAACAGAAAUUAGGUUGCGUCUCAUAAAGGGCACACAAAGAACAUCAUGUAAAAAAAUGAGUAAGGGGAGGAUUGAAGAGUAGAAGAACCCAUGUGAGUGAUGGGGAAACUAGUGCCAUCACCAAUCAUGAUAUCAUUAUAAACAGUGGAAUCAGAGUAAAGAAGGAGAAUCUAUAUGUCACUUGUCACAUGAUGAGAGGCGUCAAAAUCCAACAACCAAUCAAUGGAAGAAGGAGCAGUCGAGGAGGCAAAAUGAGCCUGGGGAGUUGUCGACCGAGUGGAUAGGGACGGAUAAGCAGCCUAGGGUAUAUGCUUAUAGGUAGAACAUCAUUUGGCAAAGUGGCCUUCAAUACCACAAAGCUGACAAAAACCUCGGAAAGGUUUGGGAGGUGGGCGAGGUUGGUGAGAACUAGCAGGAAGGUGAGGGUUAUUGGAAGAAGAGUUACGACGAUAAGAAUUGGCCUUAUAAUUAUGAUGUGGAGAAGAGUUGGGAUUCUUAGUGGUCAAAUAAAUAAAAGUUGGAGUUAAUAAUUUCUUGCCCUGGUCUUGUUUCAAUUGGGCUUCAUGGGUGAUAAGCUUCUCAUGAAGUUCAUCGAAGGAAAUAAGGGUCUCUCUAGCUUUGACUGCAAAAGCAAGAGAAGAAUAUUUUGUCACCAAGACCACGAAGAAUUUUGAGAGUGAGAUCGUCAAUAUCAUAGGCAACAUUCAUGAGGAGAAGCUCAUCAUUGCACGUUUUAAUGAGUUGCAUAUACUCCAUAAUAGUUGUCUCACCCUCGUGCAGAUUGUCUAGGAUUCCCUUGAGAGACAUGAUACGACAUAUGGCUUUGCAUAAGUGUUGAAGAGAGUGGUCCAAGGAGCAUGAGAUGUUGUGGCAGUGGUAAUGAAGGGAAUGAGAGUGGGCAUGAUCGAACCGAUGAUGGCGUUGAGAAUAAGCUGGUCUUGGUGCACCCAAAGAGAAUACGAGGGAUUGGGAGUCAGGUCGUUUGUUGUGGUGAGGGUCGGGGGUGGACAAGAACUAGCGCUGUCAACAAAUCUGCAGACAAGGUCGUAGCCAAUAAUAAGGGUAGUAAACUGCAGGCGCCAUGCAAAAUAGUUUGUGUGAGUUAAUUUAAGUGGGGCUUGAGCAGUCACAUUGAUGGUAAUGAGAUGUGGCACAUAGUCAGGGGCCAGAAUAAUCACAAGUGAGGUAGGAGACGAGACGGGGGAGUCGUGAGUAGCAGAGAAGACAAUGGGAAAAAGGUGGGUCGAGGGCUCUAAGAGUAGAGAGAAUCUAAUACCAUAUAAGAUAUUGUUUUUGAUCGAUCAACUCAACUUAUCUGUUUAUUGAGUUCAAUAAUAUAUAUAGGUGUUUUACAAAUUCAAAAUAAAUGUACAUCUCGGAACUGAUACAAGUAGUUUACCUAUAUAUGUACAUGCUAAUUCAAAAAUAAAACAAAUUCAAAUACAAAUAAACUUGCUAUCCAAAAAUGUAGUGAAAUAAUAGAUAUACAAAAUAUAUAUACUAAUAUUAUCCCAAUAUUUUAGGCAAAUCAGUAGACGUCUCAAUAUCUUCCUUACCUGCCAAUUUGCAAUGAACCCAUUACAUAAUUUUAAUUGAUUUCCAAAGAGAGAAUGCGCAGGCCACAAUAUCUAGAAUCACAAUUUCAAGAACUACAAAAAAAGAAAAACAUAUAUAGAACUGAUAGCUAAUGUGAUCAGUCAUAAUUAUUUGAAGUGUUGCCCAAUCAAGUAAUAUAUCUUGUUCUAAACAAUUAUAAUAGCAGCUAGCAUUUCUCUUUUACAUGCAUGCUGAAAGACCAAGAUUUUUAGGUGUACGUAGAGCCUCAUUUAUAUAAGCUAUGGGUCUGCUUUCUUGUAACAAAAUUGCUUCUUUCCCAUUCCUUGGAUAUAUCACACUAUGUUACAAAGCUUUUUUGGAAGCUUUGCAUAGGCAACAUAGGAGUGGUACCCACGAUGCUUUUAAGUUGCUCAAAGGCGUCUUCAAGUGAUUUGGUUCAUUAGGAAUUAGUCAUUACCUUUAUUCAACAAAAAGAUGAAUGGUUGACUAAUCUUGUCAUAAUCCUUAAUAAGUAUCCCUUGAUUUGAGUGGAAUUCUAUGUUCAUGUGCCUAGGAGGCGGUGAACCCUUAGGUUCUAUAAACAUAGUCGAGUAUUGCUACAACAGUUGAGCUAAUUCCUUAGGUUCCUUUUCUCCCUCUUCAGCUGUAUUUUUUUCUACUUGUAUAGAGAAAAUUUGAACCUUGAUGCUUAAAAUAUGUGCUUUAAAUCCCUAUAUGAUAUGCUAAAACUAACUUCAUGAAGCCUGUAGUACUACCUCUGAACACGAAUUUCCUUCCAUUGACAGUAAAUUGCUUUCUUAGAUUGUUAAAAUUCCGCCUAAUGGGUCUCAAGCUAACAAUAUUGGAUCCUCAAAACCAUAUUAUUGCAUCCUUCCAAGGUAUGAGUCUCAAAUCAGCUUAAUAAAAACUUCUUCCCUAGCAAGUUCCAUUUCAAUUGCCUGCAAACUGCAUCACCAGUAUUCAUUAUUGAAUUAUAGAUUGCACGGAUCUACCCUCAUGGAUUCACACACACAGCCCUUGGCCACAGUGGGCUCUGGUUCUCUUCAUGCAAUGGCUGUAAUUUGACUGUAAAUUGGCACACUGAAGUUGGGAUAUUCUUAGAACUAGCUUUAAUUUAUCUAAAAACAGAAGCUACUUAUGUAUUCUUACAAGUUUCUAUAGAAGAUACGUAUAACACUGAUAGCAUGUACCUGAGCCCAUCAGAAUAACUACAUAUUUUAAGCUUAAAAAGCCCAUCGCUGAGGGAGAUAGGCUUUGAUAAAGUUAUUUUCAAGAUUUUUCCUUUUUUUACAUACAUAUAUAUAUAUAUAUAUAUAUAUAAUUUAUUCACACACACACACACACAACAAAGUUUUCCUGCUUUUUCACCGGCAUGUUGAGCUCCACGCAAGUCCAAGGUGGAUCUAGCCGAUCUGAAGAAUAGGUCUUCUUGUAAUAUUUGUGCUGUCAACAACCUUGAACCACUGGCUCCCAGGAUCACACAUAUCAUCUCUACCCAAGCACUUGCAAGCAUCUGUGACAAUGUUGCUGCUGGAGUCUACAUCCAAGCAAACUGUGGUGCCAUCCCCCAGCUUAGUUGACAGGUACAUCUUUGAAUCUGAAAUGAUCUCCCAAUUUGACCCAGGUUGAGUGCAUAUUAUACUGAGUUUUGCAGGCUUCCCUAGCCCAACUGCUUGAAGGCAGAAGUAUGUUCCCUUCACUAUCAAUAUCUUUUGGGGGGUGUAGCCCCAAGCUUCUGACUCGGUGCAGGGACCUAGCUUUAAUGGUUCAGACAAUGAUUCCCUUAGAAUGCAAAGACCAGUCGAAGGAUGCAAGAUUAUUUUAUGUGGUCUGACUCGGGAUACAUCUGGCCCUGCAUCAAAUAUGAAACCACACAAAAUUUAGAUAUGAAUAAUUAAGUAAAUUUGCCUUAUUUGCCUUAGCAAACAUACCUUGCAAAGGAGAUUGGAGGGCUGAAAUCCUCUGGAAGAAGUUCGAGUUCCAAUUCAUUAACCCAUUAGUCUCUUCCAGUGUCCACAAUGCCCAAUCGAAGUCCAGUUCAGCCGCCAGGCCAAAGAAGCAAUUUAAGUGCCUGUUGUCAUCCACCCCAAGCUCACUCACAAACAUUAAUGGCCACCCUUGCUGUAGCAGAACCCCUCCUCCCCUCAUUAUGCUGUCCACCACUCUCCCGCACACCUUGUUGGGGUUGCUGGUUUCCCCAGCCCUCCCAACCCGCGAUCCAUGCCAAUGCAUCUCCAACACUAAUUUCCCUGUGAAUGUCAAUUCCAGCUGUUGAUUGAGGAGGAAAGAUAGGUCUGUACCAUCACUCAAGCCAGAGAUUAUGACCAGAACAUCUGGGUUGGCUGAGUGCACUGCUUCAGCUCCUUUCUGCAUGUACCUGGUCAAUUCAUGAAUAGCUUUAUACCAAGACCAAUUCCUACAAAUAUGGUAACUAAUAGUUUGGAAAUAUAACAACCCCCUCCCUUACGUGUCCGUGUAGAUAUUGUCCAAUCCAAUGGGACCC
Molecule: long non-coding RNA, 23075 nt
Filed under: Vitis vinifera (wine grape)
Lineage: Eukaryota; Viridiplantae; Streptophyta; Magnoliopsida; Vitales; Vitaceae
Description: long non-coding RNA (VVIN_LNC006407)
Source: RNAcentral